AUAUAAGUUCCAAUGGCCAUAGCAGAAGUGCUCAUGUCGUGGCCCUGCUGGAUUCUAACAAAUCUGCAAUUCUGCU
Molecule: ribozyme, 76 nt
Filed under: Crocodylus porosus (Australian saltwater crocodile)
Lineage: Eukaryota; Metazoa; Chordata; Crocodylia; Crocodylidae
Description: Mammalian CPEB3 ribozyme (ENSCPRG00005015281.1)
Rfam family: Mammalian CPEB3 ribozyme
About the family: The mammalian CPEB3 ribozyme is a self cleaving RNA located in the second intron of the CPEB3 gene which belongs to a family of genes regulating messenger RNA polyadenylation.
Source: Rfam by way of RNAcentral